UACAGAGACUGCAAGCGUUAUUCGGAUUCACUGGGCGUAAAGGGUGCGCAGGCGGCCGUGUGUGUGAGGCGUGAAAGCCCGGGGCUUAACCCCGGAAUUGCACCUCAAACUACACGGCUAGAGCAUUGGAGAGGGUAGCGGAAUUCACGGUGUAGCAGUGAAAUGCGUAGAUAUCGUGAGGAACACCAGAGGCGAAGGCGGCUACCUGGACAAUUGCUGACGCUCAGGCACGAAAGCGUGGGGAGCAAAAGGG
RNAcentral lists this ribosomal RNA (253 nucleotides) under uncultured bacterium. RNAcentral describes it as "partial 16S ribosomal RNA". It matches the Rfam family "Bacterial small subunit ribosomal RNA", at positions 524 to 776 of the family's 1533-position model. The record is from RNAcentral.